UACGAAGGGUGCAAGCGUUACUCGGAAUUACUGGGCGUAAAGCGUGCGUAGGCGGUUUGUUAAGUCCGUUGUGAAAGCCCUGGGCUCAACCUGGGAAUUGCAGUGGAUACUGGCGAGCUAGAGUGCGGUAGAGGAUGGUGGAAUUCCCGGUGUAGCGGUGAAAUUCGUAGAUAUCGAGAGGAACACCGGUGGCGAAGGCGGCUUUCUGGACGGUUACUGACGCUGAGACGCGAAAGCGUGGGGAGCAAACAGG
Molecule: ribosomal RNA, 253 nt
Filed under: uncultured bacterium
Lineage: Bacteria
Description: partial 16S ribosomal RNA
Rfam family: Bacterial small subunit ribosomal RNA
Source: RNAcentral